This 613-nucleotide ribosomal RNA is filed under the name Vibrio vulnificus. RNAcentral describes it as "bacterial SSU rRNA". It matches the Rfam family "Bacterial small subunit ribosomal RNA", at positions 39 to 642 of the family's 1533-position model. The record is from RNAcentral. Lineage: Bacteria; Pseudomonadati; Pseudomonadota; Gammaproteobacteria; Vibrionales; Vibrionaceae.
CCGGCAGGCCUAACACAUGCAAGUCGAGCGGCAGCACAGAGAAACUUGUUUCUCAGGCUGGCGAGCGGCGGACGGGUGAGUAAUGCCUGGGAAAUUGCCCUGAUGUGGGGGAUAACCAUUGGAAACGAUGGCUAAUACCGCAUGAUGCCUACGGGCCAAAGAGGGGGACCUUCGGGCCUCUCGCGUCAGGAUAUGCCCAGGUGGGAUUAGCUAGUUGGUGAGGUAAGGGCUCACCAAGGCGACGAUCCCUAGCUGGUCUGAGAGGAUGAUCAGCCACACUGGAACUGAGACACGGUCCAGACUCCUACGGGAGGCACCAGUGGGGAAUAUUGCACAAUGGGCGCAAGCCUGAUGCAGCCAUGCCGCGUGUGUGAAGAAGGCCUUCGGGUUGUAAAGCACUUUCAGUUGUGAGGAAGGUGGCGUCGUUAAUAGCGGCAUCAUUUGACGUCACCAACACAUGAAGCACCGGCUAACUCCGCGCCAGCUGCCGCGGUCAAUACGGAGGGUGCGAGCGUCAAUCCGGAAUUCCUGGCCGCAAAGAUCAUGCCCGCGGUUCGUUACAUAAUGAUUAAAGCCCGGGGCUCAAUCUCGGAUCCUGCAUCUGAAACUGGCA